Molecule: ribosomal RNA, 549 nt
Filed under: uncultured bacterium
Lineage: Bacteria
Description: partial 16S ribosomal RNA
Rfam family: Bacterial small subunit ribosomal RNA
Source: RNAcentral
UGGGGAAUUUUGGACAAUGGGCGAAAGCCUGAUCCAGCAAUGCCGCGUGUGUGAAGAAGGCCUUCGGGUUGUAAAGCACUUUUGUCCGGAAAGAAAUCCUUGGCUCUAAUACAGUCGGGGGAUGACGGUACCGGAAGAAUAAGCACCGGCUAACUACGUGCCAGCAGCCGCGGUAAUACGUAGGGUGCAAGCGUUAAUCGGAAUUACUGGGCGUAAAGCGUGCGCAGGCGGUUUGCUAAGACCGAUGUGAAAUCCCCGGGCUCAACCUGGGAACUGCAUUGGUGACUGGCAGGCUAGAGUAUGGCAGAGGGGGGUAGAAUUCCACGUGUAGCAGUGAAAUGCGUAGAGAUGUGGAGGAAUACCGAUGGCGAAGGCAGCCCCCUGGGCCAAAUACUGACGCUCAUGCACGAAAGCGUGGGGAGCAAACAGGAUUAGAUACCCUGGUAGUCCACGCCCUAAACGAUGUCAACUAGUUGUUGGGGACUUCAUUUCCUUAGUAACGUAGCUAACGCGUGAAGUUGACCGCCUGGGGAGUACGGUCGCAAGAUU